UGGGGAAUAUUGCACAAUGGGCGGAAGCCUGAUGCAGCCAUGCCGCGUGUGUGAAGAAGGCCUUCGGGUUGUAAAGCACUUUAGCCAGGAGGGAUGUUUUUUCGUCCGAUAAAGGCGAGGAAAUGACGUAAACUGGAAAAUAAGCACCGGCUAAUUCCGUGCCAGCAGCCGCGGUGAUACGGGGGGUGCGAGCGUUAAUCGGAAUUACUGGGCGUAAAGGGCGUGUAGGCGGUGCGUCACGCAUUUCGUGAAAGAACAGGGCUUAACCUUGUGGAGCGAAGUGAACGGGCGCGCUAGAGUAGCUGAGAGGAAGGUGGAAUUUCAAGUGUAACGUUGAAAUGUUUAGAGAUUUGAAGGAACACCAGUGGCGAAGGCGACCUUCUGGCAGCUUACUGACGCUGAGACGCGAAGGCGCGGGGAGCAAACAGG
This 429-nucleotide ribosomal RNA is filed under the name uncultured bacterium. RNAcentral describes it as "bacterial SSU rRNA". It matches the Rfam family "Bacterial small subunit ribosomal RNA", at positions 355 to 776 of the family's 1533-position model. The record is from RNAcentral.